This 63-nucleotide transfer RNA is filed under the name Dipodomys ordii (Ord's kangaroo rat). It matches the Rfam family "tRNA". From Rfam's summary of the family: Transfer RNA (tRNA) molecules are approximately 80 nucleotides in length. Their secondary structure includes four short double-helical elements and three loops (D, anti-codon, and T loops). Further hydrogen bonds mediate the characteristic L-shaped molecular structure. tRNAs have two regions of fundamental functional importance: the anti-codon, which is responsible for specific mRNA codon recognition, and the 3' end, to which the tRNAs corresponding amino acid is attached (by aminoacyl-tRNA synthetases). tRNAs cope with the degeneracy of the genetic code in two manners: having more than one tRNA (with a specific anti-codon) for a particular amino acid; and 'wobble' base-pairing, i.e. permitting non-standard base-pairing at the 3rd anti-codon position. The record is from Rfam by way of RNAcentral. Lineage: Eukaryota; Metazoa; Chordata; Mammalia; Rodentia; Heteromyidae.
AGGAAGUUGGCUUAGUGGUAGAGUGCUUGCCUCGAAAGCAUGAGAUCCUGGGCCCAAUUCCUC